UUGCUUCUUUGCUGACGAGUGGCGGACGGGUGAGUAAUGUCUGGGAAACUGCCUGAUGGAGGGGGAUAACUACUGGAAACGGUAGCUAAUACCGCAUAACGUCGCAAGACCAAAGAGGGGGACCUUCGGGCCUCUUGCCAUCGGAUGUGCCCAGAUGGGAUUAGCUAGUAGGUGGGGUAACGGCUCACCUAGGCGACGAUCCCUAGCUGGUCUGAGAGGAUGACCAGCCACACUGGAACUGAGACACGGUCCAGACUCCUACGGGAGGCAGCAGUGGGGAAUAUUGCACAAUGGGCGCAAGCCUGAUGCAGCCAUGCCGCGUGUAUGAAGAAGGCCUUCGGGUUGUAAAGUACUUUCAGCGGGGAGGAAGGGAGUAAAGUUAAUACCUUUGCUCAUUGACGUUACCCGCAGAAGAAGCACCGGCUAACUCCGUGCCAGCAGCCGCGGUAAUACGGAGGGUGCAAGCGUUAAUCGGAAUUACUGGGCGUAAAGCGCACGCAGGCGGUUUGUUAAGUCAGAUGUGAAAUCCCCGGGCUCAACCUGGGAACUGCAUCUGAUACUGGCAAGCUUGAGUCUCGUAGAGGGGGGUAGAAUUCCAGGUGUAGCGGUGAAAUGCGUAGAGAUCUGGAGGAAUACCGGUGGCGAAGGCGGCCCCCUGGACGAGACUGACGCUCAGGUGCGAAGCGUGGGGAGCAACAGGAUAGAUACCUGGUAGU
This 716-nucleotide ribosomal RNA is filed under the name Enterobacteriaceae bacterium HXF0068. Its description in RNAcentral is "bacterial SSU rRNA". It matches the Rfam family "Bacterial small subunit ribosomal RNA", at positions 74 to 794 of the family's 1533-position model. The record is from RNAcentral. Lineage: Bacteria; Pseudomonadati; Pseudomonadota; Gammaproteobacteria; Enterobacterales; Enterobacteriaceae.